GCGACUAUAGUCUAGUGGUUAGGACAGUGGCUUCCCAAGCCUCUAACCCGGGUUCAAAUCCCGGUGGUCGCA
Molecule: transfer RNA, 72 nt
Filed under: Methanomassiliicoccales archaeon RumEn M2
Lineage: Archaea; Methanobacteriati; Thermoplasmatota; Thermoplasmata; Methanomassiliicoccales
Also listed under: 3 other names
Rfam family: tRNA
About the family: Transfer RNA (tRNA) molecules are approximately 80 nucleotides in length.
Source: Rfam by way of RNAcentral